RNAcentral lists this small nucleolar RNA (135 nucleotides) under Thalictrum thalictroides. RNAcentral's name for it is "Small nucleolar RNA snoR77". It matches the Rfam family "Small nucleolar RNA snoR77". Lineage: Eukaryota; Viridiplantae; Streptophyta; Magnoliopsida; Ranunculales; Ranunculaceae. The record is from Rfam by way of RNAcentral.
AGGCAGCCCCCUUGUGAAUGUUCGUAUGGCAGGGGAGGUGUUGCUCUACUCGAAAAUUAGAUCUUCUGCUCUUCAGACUUGCUGAGAUGAUUUUUAAUAGUCUCUGAAGCUGGUCUAGUAAGCUCCAAGUACAGU